RNAcentral lists this ribosomal RNA (503 nucleotides) under uncultured bacterium. Its description in RNAcentral is "bacterial SSU rRNA". It matches the Rfam family "Bacterial small subunit ribosomal RNA", at positions 24 to 518 of the family's 1533-position model. The record is from RNAcentral.
UCAGGAUGAACGCUAGCUACAGGCUUAACACAUGCAAGUCGAGGGGCAUCAUGGAGUUGCUUGCAAACUCUGAUGGCGACCGGCGCACGGGUGAGUAACGCGUAUCCAACCUUCCCUAUAGUAGAGGAUAGCCCGGCGAAAGUCGGAUUAAUACUCUAUGUUUUCCGUUGCAGACAUCUAAGAUGGAACAAAGGCUUGCCGCUAUAGGAUGGGGAUGCGUCUGAUUAGGUAGUCGGCGGGGUAACGGCCCACCGAGCCAUCGAUCAGUAGGGUUCUGAGAGGAAGGUCCCCCACAUUGGAACUGAGACACGGUCCAAACUCCUACGGGAGGCAGCAGUGAGGAAUAUUGGUCAAUGGGCGAGAGCCUGAACCAGCCAAGUAGCGUGCAGGACGACGGCCCUAUGGGUUGUAAACUGCUUUUAUGCGGGGAUAAAGUUCACUACGUGUAGUGUUUUGUAGGUACCGCAUGAAUAAGGACCGGCUAAUUCCGUGCCAGCAGCUGC